This 201-nucleotide unclassified non-coding RNA is filed under the name Ascomycota sp. RNAcentral's name for it is "partial contains small subunit ribosomal RNA, internal transcribed spacer 1, and 5.8S ribosomal RNA". The stretch from base 1 to 47 matches the Rfam family "Eukaryotic small subunit ribosomal RNA", at positions 1785 to 1831 of the family's 1831-position model. Lineage: Eukaryota; Fungi; Ascomycota. The record is from RNAcentral.
AAAGUCGUAACAAGGUCUCCGUAGGUGAACCUGCGGAGGGAUCAUUACUGAAUGACCGCAAGGUCUUCAAACCUUCAAACCUGUGGAAGCGAAAUGUGCUUCGGCGCCCAAAAAGGCGCCGCUUUUAUGCAUCAAUGGUUGGCUUUGUCUGAACAUAAACAAAAAGAAUCAAAACUUUCAACAAAGGAUCUCUUGGCUCUC